RNAcentral lists this ribosomal RNA (397 nucleotides) under uncultured bacterium. RNAcentral describes it as "partial 16S ribosomal RNA". It matches the Rfam family "Bacterial small subunit ribosomal RNA", at positions 523 to 918 of the family's 1533-position model. The record is from RNAcentral.
AUACGUAGGUGACAAGCGUUAUCCGGAUUUACUGGGCGUAAAGGGCGUGUAGGCGGUCUUGCAAGUCAGAAGUGAAAUUCCUGAGCUCAACUCGGGCGCUGCUUCUGAAACUGCAGGACUUGAGUGCUGGAGGGGAUAGCGGAAUUCCUAGUGGAGCGGUAAAAUGCGAAGAUAUUAGGAAGAACACCGGUGGCGAAGGCGGCUAUCUGGACAGGAACUGACGCUGAGGCCCGAAAGCGGGGGGAGCAAACAGGAUUAGAUGCCCUGGUAGUCCACGCCGUAAACGAUGAAUACUAGGUGUAGGGGGUAUCGACUCCCUCUGUGCCGCAGUUAACACGAUAAGUAUUCCGCCUGGGGAGUACGGCCGCAAGGUUGAAACUCAAAUGAAUUGACGGGG